Molecule: ribosomal RNA, 601 nt
Filed under: Elmis latreillei
Lineage: Eukaryota; Metazoa; Arthropoda; Insecta; Coleoptera; Elmidae
Description: SSU rRNA
Rfam family: Eukaryotic small subunit ribosomal RNA
Source: RNAcentral
AGUCAUAUGCUUGUCUCAAAGAUUAAGCCAUGCAUGUCUCAGUACAAGCCAAAUUAAGGUGAAACCGCGAAAGGCUCAUUAAAUCAGUUAUGGUUCCUUAGAUCGUACCCACAUUUACUUGGAUAACUGUGGUAAUUCUAGAGCUAAUACAUGCAAACAGAGCUCCGACCGGAGACGGAAGGAGCGCUUUUAUUAGAUCAAAACCAAUCGGCGGCGGGUUCGCUCGUCGUCGUACACCUUGGUGAAUCUGAAUAACUUUCUGCUGAUCGCAUGGUCUCGCACCGGCGACGCAUCUUUCAAAUGUCUGCCUUAUCAACUGUCGAUGGUAGGUUCUGCGCCUACCAUGGUUGUAACGGGUAACGGGGAAUCAGGGUUCGAUUCCGGAGAGGGAGCCUGAGAAACGGCUACCACAUCCAAGGAAGGCAGCAGGCGCGCAAAUUACCCACUCCCGGCACGGGGAGGUAGUGACGAAAAAUAACGAUACGGGACUCAUCCGAGGCCCCGUAAUCGGAAUGAGUACACUCUAAACCCUUUAACGAGGAUCAAUUGGAGGGCAAGUCUGGUGCCAGCAGCCGCGGUAAUUCCAGCUCCAAUAGCGUAU